This 1372-nucleotide ribosomal RNA is filed under the name uncultured bacterium. RNAcentral describes it as "bacterial SSU rRNA". It matches the Rfam family "Bacterial small subunit ribosomal RNA", at positions 28 to 1381 of the family's 1533-position model. The record is from RNAcentral.
GAUGAACGCUGGCGGCGUGCCUAAUACAUGCAAGUCGAGCGAACGGACGAGAAGCUUGCUUCUCUGAUGUUAGCGGCGGACGGGUGGGUAACACGUGGAUAACCUACCUAUAAGACUGGGAUAACUUCGGGAAACCGGAGCUAAUACCGGAUAAUAUUUUGAACCGCAUGGUUCAAAAGUGAAAGACGGUCUUGCUGUCACUUAUAGAUGGAUCCGCGCUGCAUUAGCUAGUUGGUAAGGUAACGGCUUACCAAGGCAACGAUGCAUAGCCGACCUGAGAGGGUGAUCGGCCACACUGGAACUGAGACACGGUCCAGACUCCUACGGGAGGCAGCAGUAGGGAAUCUUCCGCAAUGGGCGAAAGCCUGACGGAGCAACGCCGCGUGAGUGAUGAAGGUCUUCGGAUCGUAAAACUCUGUUAUUAGGGAAGAACAUAUGUGUAAGUAACUGUGCACAUCUUGACGGUACCUAAUCAGAAAGCCACGGCUAACUACGUGCCAGCAGCCGCGGUAAUACGUAGGUGGCAAGCGUUAUCCGGAAUUAUUGGGCGUAAAGCGCGCGUAGGCGGUUUUUUAAGUCUGAUGUGAAAGCCCACGGCUCAACCGUGGAGGGUCAUUGGAAACUGGAAAACUUGAGUGCAGAAGAAGAAAGUGGAAUUCCAUGUGUAGCGGUGAAAUGCGCAGAGAUAUGGAGGAACACCAGUGGCGAAGGCGACUUUCUGGUCUGUAACUGACGCUGAUGUGCGAAGGCGUGGGGAUCAAACAGGAUUAGAUACCCUGGUAGUCCACGCCGUAAACGAUGAGUGCUAAGUGUUAGGGGGUUUCCGCCCCUUAGUGCUGCAGCUAACGCAUUAAGCACUCCGCCUGGGGAGUACGACCGCAAGGUUGAAACUCAAAGGAAUUGACGGGGACCCGCACAAGCGGUGGAGCAUGUGGUUUAAUUCGAAGCAACGCGAAGAACCUUACCAAAUCUUGACAUCCUUUGACAACUCUAGAGAUAGAGCUUUCCCCUUCGGGGGACAAAGUGACAGGUGGUGCAUGGUCGUCGUCAGCUCGUGUCGUGAGAUGUUGGGUUAAGUCCCGCAACGAGCGCAACCCUUAAGCUUAGUUGCCAUCAUUAAGUUGGGCACUCUAAGUUGACUGCCGGUGACAAACCGGAGGAAGGUGGGGAUGACGUCAAAUCAUCAUGCCCCUUAUGAUUUGGGCUACACACGUGCUACAAUGGACAAUACAAAGGGCAGCGAAACCGCGAGGUCAAGCAAAUCCCAUAAAGUUGUUCUCAGUUCGGAUUGUAGUCUGCAACUCGACUACAUGAAGCUGGAAUCGCUAGUAAUCGUAGAUCAGCAUGCUACGGUGAAUACGUUCCCGGGUCU